CAAUAGCGUAUAUUAAAGUUGUUGCAGUUAAAAAGCUCGUAGUUGGAUUUCGGAAUGGGCCAGUUGGUCCGCCGCAAGGUGUGUUACUGACUGGUCUGUUCUUCUUCGCAAAGACUGCGUGUGCUCUUCACUGAGUGUGCGUAGGAUUUACGACGUUUACUUUGAAAAAUUAGAGUGUUCAAAGCAGGCUAUCGCUUGAAUACAUGAGCAUGGAAUAAUGGAAUAGGACUUUGGUUCUAUUUUGUUGGUUUCUAGGACCGAAGUAAUGAUUAAUAGGGACAGUUGGGGGCAUUUUUAUUCCAUUGUCAGAGGUGAAAUUCUUGGAUUAACGGAAGAAAAACUACUGCGAAAGCAUCUGCCAAGGAUGUUUUCAUUGAUCAAGAACGAAAGUUAGGGGAUCGAAGACGAUUAGAUACCGU
This 419-nucleotide ribosomal RNA is filed under the name uncultured eukaryote. Its description in RNAcentral is "SSU rRNA". It matches the Rfam family "Eukaryotic small subunit ribosomal RNA", at positions 592 to 1018 of the family's 1831-position model. The record is from RNAcentral.